RNAcentral lists this ribosomal RNA (440 nucleotides) under Lactococcus lactis subsp. lactis. RNAcentral's name for it is "bacterial SSU rRNA". It matches the Rfam family "Bacterial small subunit ribosomal RNA", at positions 980 to 1430 of the family's 1533-position model. The record is from RNAcentral. Lineage: Bacteria; Bacillati; Bacillota; Bacilli; Lactobacillales; Streptococcaceae.
CUCGUUCCAUUUAUGGAGUUCGGAACAUCCUUCGGCACCCGCAAAACAAGGCGUUGCAUCUUGCCGUCAUCUCGUGUCGUUUAGUUUGAGUUAAGUCCCGAAGCCAGCGCAACCCUUUUGUUAGUUCCCAUCAGUAAGUCCCCACAAAAACGAGACUGGGGGUGAUAAGCCGGAGGGAGGGGGGGAAAAAAAGACAGCAUCAUGCCCCUUUCGUCGUGUGCUACCCAGGUGCAACAACGGAUGCAAUAACAAGUCACGAGACAGUGAAGAUGAGCUAAUAUUAUAAAGCCACUGUCAGUUCGGCUUUUAGGCACUAACUUGCAUGCAUGAAGUAGGAAUCGUUAGUAAUCGUCAACCAGCCCGCCGCGGUGAAUACGUUGCCGGUUCUUGUACACGGCCAAACCGUCCCACCAAGGGAGUUGGGAGUACAGCGAAGGAGG